Molecule: ribosomal RNA, 483 nt
Filed under: uncultured bacterium
Lineage: Bacteria
Description: partial 16S ribosomal RNA
Rfam family: Bacterial small subunit ribosomal RNA
Source: RNAcentral
AUUGAACGCUGGCGGCAGGCCUAACACAUGCAAGUCGAGCGGAUGAAGGGAGCUUGCUCCUGGAUUCAGCGGCGGACGGGUGAGUAAUGCCUAGGAAUCUGCCUGGUAGUGGGGGAUAACGUCCGGAAACGGGCGCUAAUACCGCAUACGUCCUGAGGGAGAAAGUGGGGGAUCUUCGGACCUCACGCUAUCAGAUGAGCCUAGGUCGGAUUAGCUAGUUGGUGGGGUAAAGGCCUACCAAGGCGACGAUCCGUAACUGGUCUGAGAGGAUGAUCAGUCACACUGGAACUGAGACACGGUCCAGACUCCUACGGGAGGCAGCAGUGGGGAAUAUUGGACAAUGGGCGAAAGCCUGAUCCAGCCAUGCCGCGUGUGUGAAGAAGGUCUUCGGAUUGUAAAGCACUUUAGGUUGGGAGGAAGGGCAGUAAGUUAAUACCUUGCUGCUUUGACGUUACCAACAGAAUAAGCACCGGCUAACUUCGU